Molecule: ribosomal RNA, 290 nt
Filed under: uncultured bacterium
Lineage: Bacteria
Description: partial 16S ribosomal RNA
Rfam family: Bacterial small subunit ribosomal RNA
Source: RNAcentral
ACUUGCCUACGGGGCGCAGCAGUAGGGAAUUUUCGUCAAUGGGCGCAAGCCUGAACGAGCGAUGCCGCGUGAGUGAAGAAGGCUUUCGGGUCGUAAAGCUCUGUUGCGGGGGAAAAAAGGCAGCAUCAGAAAAUGGGUGCUGACUGAUGGUGCCCCGCCAGAAAGUCACGGCUAACUACGUGCCAGCAGCCGCGGUAAUACGUAGGUGGCGAGCGUUAUCCGGAAUGAUUGGGCGUAAAGGGUGCGCAGGCGGUCCUGCAAGUCUGUAGUGAAACGCAUGAGCUCAACUC